UCAUGUGGAUCACCAUUGGAGGACUUUUACUUUGGAGUCUCAUUGAGAUCACCAACGUGCCACAUUAUCUUUUUGGUGAAAGUAAAAAUUCUAUACCUUUUGCAUGCUUGUUUUGUUUUGAUCGACAUCGGUAAAGUGAUUAUAGGGUUUGAGUUUCGGCUCGAUAUUUUUAACUGUUAAAGUUACUAACUUGUUUGAUUUUAAAAUUUUUAAAAAAUUACUUUUCACUGCAUGAUCAGAAUCCAACACACC
This 252-nucleotide long non-coding RNA is filed under the name Elaeis guineensis (African oil palm). Its description in RNAcentral is "long non-coding RNA (EGUI_LNC045085)". The record is from RNAcentral. Lineage: Eukaryota; Viridiplantae; Streptophyta; Magnoliopsida; Arecales; Arecaceae.